Non-coding RNA from Cucumis melo (muskmelon), 148 nucleotides. The record is from Rfam. Lineage: Eukaryota; Viridiplantae; Streptophyta; Magnoliopsida; Cucurbitales; Cucurbitaceae.
GAAAUAAGAGCCGGUCUUGAUAGCCAAAGAGACUGCCUGCAUGGAUAUGACACAACAGGGUUUGAUGGCAGCCUUUUGUAGAUAAUCCCUUCAUGAAGUUGCAAUCUGCAGGCAAGUCAUCCUUGGCUACAAUACAUGACUCUCCAUU